CCAUGUAUUCAUUUGUUUGGCCACGGAA
RNAcentral lists this non-coding RNA (28 nucleotides) under Mus musculus (house mouse). Lineage: Eukaryota; Metazoa; Chordata; Mammalia; Rodentia; Muridae. The record is from RNAcentral.